GGACUACUCGGGUAUCUAAUCCUGUUUGAUCCCCACGCUUUCGUGCAUCAGCGUCAAUCAUACUUUAGUGAGCUGCCUUCGCAAUCGGGGUUCUGUGACAUAUCUAUGCAUUUCACCGCUACUUGUCACAUUCCGCCCACCUCAAGUACAUUCAAGCCCCACAGUUUCAAAGGCACUGCGAUAGUUGAGCUACCGUCUUUCACCUCUGACUUAUAAGGCCGCCUACGCACCCUUUAAACCCAAUAAAUCCGGAUAACGCUCGGAUCCUCCGUAUUACCGCGGCUGCUGGCAC
RNAcentral lists this ribosomal RNA (292 nucleotides) under uncultured Bacteroidota bacterium. Its description in RNAcentral is "uncultured Bacteroidetes bacterium partial 16S ribosomal RNA". The record is from RNAcentral. Lineage: Bacteria; Pseudomonadati; Bacteroidota.